This 1885-nucleotide long non-coding RNA is filed under the name Medicago truncatula (barrel medic). Its description in RNAcentral is "long non-coding RNA (MTRU_LNC001791)". Lineage: Eukaryota; Viridiplantae; Streptophyta; Magnoliopsida; Fabales; Fabaceae. The record is from RNAcentral.
CGAUUUUUUUACCAAAUUUCAUUACAUACAAAAAUAAGUUACGAACUUAUAACAAAAUGAUAAUAUCUUCCAAUGGAACUACAACUUAGCAUGUUUUGUUAUAAUUUUACAAUAGAACUAUAACUCAUCAAGUCCUAUCACUAAUUUACAAAUUUCUUGCAAAGGGAUGAACUUUUCCUUGUGAUUGAGUUCACCUCAUCCUGUAUCAUCUAUGAUGGUACGUCAUUAGGUUGACUUGUUGAUAAGUAUCACUGCAUUCAAUAUCAAAGCUCUCAUUUUCACAACUUUCAUGGAUGUGUUGUUUUUAUCAAAAUCAACUUGCUAAUCAAUGGACCAACCUGAAAAUGCAUCAAUGUUAAUGCUUCUAUAUCGAACUUAAGAAAAUAAUAAUAGAAGGUAACCAAACAUGUUAUUGCAAUGAGCAUAGUCCUUUUUUUUAUCAUUACUUGUUCAAUGGCUUAAUGAGCAACUAUAUUUGUUCUUGGUCUAACUUUUAAUUAAUCAUAAUCUAACAAGGAUACAAAAUCUUAACACAAAGAAGCAUCAUUGAUCGAAGGAAGUAACAUACCUUUUUGUUCUGUUUCAUGGUUCAUGACUAAAUGAACAUAUUGAAAAGCUUGAAUAAGGAAUGCUAAGUAAAUAAAACUACACCCAAAUAAAUUCAUCACUAUGUAAACUAACAGCAGGACUUAACAUACAAAACUAAACAAAAAACAUGCAAAAACACCCCAAUGAUGCUAAAAAAGCAAUGACAACAAAUCAAAGAAACCCAAGAUAUGUGUAGCCAAAACCAAAUGCCUCUACAACUAAAAGUACAAAUUAGUCCAACUAGCCGCACAAUUAAAAGGGCUCCAAUAACCCCAUGAAGCUUAACCAAAGAAGAUACAUGAUCAAAUGAAACAACAAAGCAAUGAAUCCCAAAAAUAUGUUAUGUGAAAUAUAUUGUUUGGCACACCUGACCAAUACAAAAUUGAACAUAAGACAUCUCCUAUGACCACAAACUCAUUAAUAUAAUCACAAGAUUCAUCACCAAAAACAUCACAACUCCGCACAACCAUACAAUUCAACCUACAAGCUUAUUCACCAUGAAUCAUUCCCGCACUUAGCCAUUUUUUAACAUAACUUUGACCACGAAUCACUAAAGACAUACUAAAUAAUUGGAGGAGAACUUGUGAAUUUUGACUGAGAAAAUAACAAUGAGAGGUGAAUGUUAUUCUAUGUAUAACAUGAUUCACACAAACUAACAAAAGAAUGACAUAACUUAACCAACACAACUUAUCAUCCCAACCCCAUUUGUAGAUCCCAUCAAAUGCAACCAACAACAUAACAUCUUAAUAGACAACAACCCAAAAGGCAACAAUAAGACAAUAAUGUAACAGAAGAUUUUAACAAAAUUAUGAGCUAAACUUCUAAUUACUAUUAGGUUUCAAUUAACCCAUAAUUCUCACAAAAUCAGUAUCAUUCCCUAAUAUGAUUAAUUUCUACACCAUGAAAUUCUAAUUCCUUUGAAGUUGGUCACAAAUAAUUUCAAAUCAACACAAAUUACCAUCUCAUUAGGGUUUAACAAAUCAUUUAAAAAAAACAUUCAAUUUUGGAGAAAAACAUUCAAAAUGGAGACAGAUAAACCAUAAACACAAAUCCUAUUCAUAAAGUAAAAUGAAAAUUUGAGAUUAACCUCACCUAAGAAUAGAGAGAUUGUGGGAAGAAAACAGUUGUUGAUUGUGAACCGACAGUGGCUGUGAGACAACAGUUGUUGUAACGAAAACGGGUCGGUUGGAAGAGAUCGCAUAAGAGGACAAGCGGUGGGAGGAGAUCGCGUGUUGGUAGAGAGAGACUUCUCCGGUGAGGAUAGAGGGAGAUGAAAGAUAUAUUGUUUCCUUUUUCC